This 45-nucleotide unclassified non-coding RNA is filed under the name Trypanosoma cruzi. RNAcentral describes it as "guide RNA". The record is from RNAcentral. Lineage: Eukaryota; Euglenozoa; Kinetoplastea; Trypanosomatida; Trypanosomatidae.
UGUGAGAUUAGACUGUAUGAAUUGGAUGAUAUAGAUUAUGAUAGU